This is a long non-coding RNA of Ruditapes philippinarum (Manila clam), 1040 nucleotides long. RefSeq lists it as uncharacterized. The transcript is spliced from 3 exons. The record is from RefSeq and is a predicted model, not a curated record. Lineage: Eukaryota; Metazoa; Mollusca; Bivalvia; Venerida; Veneridae.
AGUGGUACCAAAAAGAUGGUAAAUUGGUAGUGUUCAGUUCCGGGCAAACAUUUUCUUCAAGAGGUUCUUGUCAGAUUGAUGAAUGUGAAAUUAAGAGGACCCAUUUUGAGAAUGCUUUUAUGAAUGGAAUCCAGAGAGAUAAAGUCUAAAAUGUGAUACUGUCAAUGUGACCUUAACCUUGAAGUAAACAGAUGACACAAUGUUUUUUCAAUGUCAUGGGCAUAUAAUGAAGAGAAAACAGAGAUGCUUGUUUGACAGAUACAGUAAUAGUAGGAGUUAUGAGGGAAGAUAGAUUGCAGUGAUAACUAUAUUGAGGCACCACUUUAUCACCAAGAACAUGAGAUGACUUAUCAAUGUUUUCAAUGUGUUUGAACACCCAUUUUAAAUAAUACAGCUCAGAGUGAAUUUUUCAAAAUAAUUAAUUCUGUUUUCAAAGUUUUUUAUUAAGAUGUUAGUUGAUCUUGUCAAGUACUUUUAUUUUUUUAGGGAUGGCAACAAAUAUAGAGGAUAUUUGUUUGUUUUGCAUGUAAGAUUGAAAUAUAAUUUCACUGAGUGAACACCAGAUGCAAUUUUUUCACGAGUGGCGUAGCCACGAGUGAAAAUAUAAAAGCUGGUGUUCACGAAUGAAAUACAUUUCAAUCUAAUAUGUAAAACAAAUAAAUUUUCUUUUUAUGUCAUGCUUUUUAAGUGAUUUUAAGUAAUUUUUACUGAUUUUGCCUCGUAACGUAGCGCAUUCUCCUUUGUGACGUCAUCACAUCAUGACGUCACAUCAAAAAGUUUGAAAUAUAGUUCUGUUAAAUUUCUCUAAUUUUGUUACAUUUUUAACUUUAUGUAUGGUGACAUCGACUUUCUUUUCCAAAAGAAGCAAAAUUUAGACAUGACAGCAUUUAUUUUUGCCUGUUAUUCCAUUCAGAUUUGAUUUUCUUUUCAUCCACAUUCAGAUAUAGUCCGGCUACAGUGAAAAUUAUAUUUUAUAAAUUUCACUAGUGGUUUAUCAAAAUAUAAUCAUCUGAUAUAUUACAAUAAAACACUGGAAAGCA